This is a long non-coding RNA of Haliotis rubra (blacklip abalone), 2038 nucleotides long. RefSeq lists it as uncharacterized. The transcript is spliced from 2 exons. Lineage: Eukaryota; Metazoa; Mollusca; Gastropoda; Lepetellida; Haliotidae. The record is from RefSeq and is a predicted model, not a curated record.
ACUCUGGUACGGGGCAAGAUGACGCUCACUAGCUCUCUAACUCUGGUACAGAGCGAGAUGCUGCUUACUCUAUAGUUGCUAAGCAACUAGGUUGUCAUAUAUCACAGUGGAUAUUGGAUGUCGUAUCAAUGUGGGUAUUGGAUGUCAUAUAUCAGGGUGGGCAUUUGAUGUCAAAUCAGGGUGGGUAUUGGAUGUCAUAUAUCAGGGUGGAUAUUUGAUGUCAUAUCAGGGUGGACAUUGGAUGUCAUCAGGGUGGGUAUUGGAUGUCAUAUAUCAGGGUGGGUAUUGGAUGUCAUAUCAGGGUGGAUAUUGGAUGUCAUAUAUCAGGGUGGGCAUUGGAUGUCAUAUAUCAGGGUGGGCAUUGGAUGUCAUAUAUCAGGGUGGGUAUUGGAUGUCAUAUAUCAGGGUGGAUAUUUGAUGUCAUAUAUCAGGGUGGAUAUUGGAUGUCAUAUAUCAGGCUGGGCAUUGGAUGUCAAAUCAGGGUGGGUAUUGGAUGUCAUAUAUCAGGGUGGAUAUUGGAUGUCAUAUAUCAGGGUGGGUAUUGGAUGUGAUAUCAGGGUGGAUAUUGGAUGUCAUAUAUCAGGGUGGGUAUUGGAUGUCAUAUAUCAGGGUGGGUAUUGGAUGUGAUAUCAGGGUGGAUAUUGGAUGUCAUAUAUCAGGGUGGGCAUUGGAUGUCAUAUAUCAGGGUGGGUAUUGGAUGUGAUAUCAGGGUGGAUAUUGGAUGUCAUAUAUCAGGGUGGAUAUUGGAUGUCAUAUAUCAGGGUGGGUAUUGGAUGUCAUAUAUCAGGGUGGAUAUUGGAUGCCAUAAGUCAGGGUGGGUAUUGGAUGUCAUUUAUGUCAGGAUGGCUAUUGGAUGUCAUAUAUCAGGGUGGGUAUGGGGCACUAUCAUAUAGUCACUAUGUUGAUUGUUGUAGAGAAGGUUGUGAAGUGCUGACUCUUCAGAAUACACCUUCCACCAUUACAACACUCAAGUUUCCCCGACAGCCACCCCAUACCUCUGUCCUUGUAGACUGGUCUUGAGUUGAGUCUGGUAGACGUCUGUGUUAUGCAUGUAAACAUGAAACAGUGCAGUUCUAAAUCUUGAGCUUGAAUUCCUAAACAUAUCUUCAUACAGAACACAUUGUCAAAAUAUAUUCAUACAUGCAGCACCUAAUCUUUCACAGAGUGAUAGUUAUCAAAGUUACAACACAGUUACCUUAAUUACAACGUAGUUACCAUAGUUACAACAUAGUUGCCAUGGUUACCACACUGUAGUCUUUUAACUGGGAGGGUGUCAGAGUAUCAUUGCCAUGGUUACAUCUUGAGAUUGGAGGGUAGGACAAAAACCCUACCGGACAAAAUCCGAUAAGACAAAAUGUCUGCACACUGCGGACAAAGUCCGGAUUUUGUCCAAAGAAAUUUUGUCCCAUGGGAUUUUGUAUGCUUGGGAUUUUGUCAGUCCCCCUUGAGAUAUGUGUGUGGCAACGAGUCACAUCAGAAGGUCUGCCACACCUUGUAUUGUUUCAGGAGGAUCAGUACGAACUAGUUCCACUUGUUGACUUUUGUAAACACAAUACAGAGAGAGCUGGGUUGUUUGGUGAAGCCUGGUGCAACUGUCACAGCUAACACUGAGGACUUGUAAAGACAGGCUUGUGAUGUCAGACUUGUAAAGACAGGCUUGUGAUGUCAGACUUGUAAAGACAGGCUUGUAAUGUCAGACUUGUAAAGACAGGCUUGUGAGGUCAGACUUGUAAAGACAGGUUUGUGAUGUCAGACUUGUGAAGACAGGCUUGUGAUGUCAGACUUGUAAAGACAGGCUUGUGAGGUCAGACUUGUAAAGACAGGCUUAUGAGGUCAGACUUGUAAAGACAGGCUUAUGAGGUCAGACUUGUAAAGACAGGUUUGUGAUGUCAGACUUGUAAAGACAGGCUUAUGAGGUCAGACUUGUGAAGACAGGCUUAUGAGGUCAGACUUGUAAAGACAGGCUUGUGAGGUCAGACUUGUAAAGACAGGCUUGUGAGGUCAGACUUGUAAAGACAGGCUUGUUAGGUUAAACUUG